This 497-nucleotide ribosomal RNA is filed under the name uncultured bacterium. RNAcentral's name for it is "partial 16S ribosomal RNA". It matches the Rfam family "Bacterial small subunit ribosomal RNA", at positions 28 to 507 of the family's 1533-position model. The record is from RNAcentral.
GAUGAACGCUGGCGGCGUGCCUAAUACAUGCAAGUCGAGCGAACAGACGAGGAGCUUGCUCCUCUGACGUUAGCGGCGGACGGGUGAGUAACACGUGGAUAACCUACCUAUAAGACUGGGAUAACUUCGGGAAACCGGAGCUAAUACCGGAUAAUAUAUUGAACCGCAUGGUUCAAUAGUGAAAGACGGUUUUGCUGUCACUUAUAGAUGGAUCCGCGCCGCAUUGGCUAGUUGGUAAGGUAACGGCUUACCAAGGCAACGAUGCGUAGCCGACCUGAGAGGGUGAUCGGCCACACUGGAACUGAGACACGGUCCAGACUCCUACGGGAGGCAGCAGUAGGGAAUCUUCCGCAAUGGGCGAAAGCUUGACGGAGCAACGCCGCGUGAGUGAUGAAGGUCUUCGGAUCGUAAAACUCUGUUAUUAGGGAAGAACAAAUGUGUAAGUAACUAUGCACGUCCUGACGGUACCUAAUCAGAAAGCCACGGCUAACUACGUG